AACGCUAGCUACAGGCUUAACACAUGCAAGUCGAGGGGCAUCAGUUUGGUUUGCUUGCAAACCAAAGCUGGCGACCGGCGCACGGGUGAGUAACACGUAUCCAACCUGCCUCAUACUCGGGGAUAGCCUUUCGAAAGAAAGAUUAAUAUCCGAUAGCAUAUAUUUCCCGCAUGGGUUUUAUAUUAAAGAAAUUCGGUAUGAGAUGGGGAUGCGUUCCAUUAGUUUGUUGGCGGGGUAACGGCCCACCAAGCCUUCGAUGGAUAGGGGUUCUGAGAGGAAGGUCCCCCACAUUGGAACUGAGACACGGUCCAAACUCCUACGGGAGGCAGCAGUGAGGAAUAUUGGUCAAUGGGCGCAGGCCUGAACCAGCCAAGUAGCGUGAAGGAUGACUGCCCUAUGGGUUGUAAACUUCUUUUAUAAAGGAAUAAAGUCGGGUAUGGAUACCCGUUUGCAUGUACUUUAUGAAUAAGGAUCGGCUAACUCCGUGCCAGCAGCCGCGGUAAUACGGAGGAUCCGAGCGUUAUCCGGAUUUAUUGGGUUUAAAGGGGGCGUAGGCGGACUAUUAAGUCAGCUGUGAAAGUUUGCGGCUCAACCGUAAAAUUGCAGUUGAUACUGGUCGUCUUGAGUGCAGUAGAGGUAGGCGGAAUUCGUGGUGUAGCGGUGAAAUGCUUAGAUAUCACGAAGAACUCCGAUUG
This 695-nucleotide ribosomal RNA is filed under the name uncultured bacterium. RNAcentral's name for it is "bacterial SSU rRNA". It matches the Rfam family "Bacterial small subunit ribosomal RNA", at positions 32 to 715 of the family's 1533-position model. The record is from RNAcentral.